UGACUACAGGGGUAUCUAAUCCCUUUCGCUCCCCUAGCUUUCGUCCCUCAGUGUCAGUGCAGACCCAGCAAGGCGCCUUCGCCACCGAUGUUCUUCCCAAUAUCUACGCAUUUCACCGCUACACUGGGAAUUCCCCUUGCCCCUAUCGCACUCUAGCCACCCAGUUUCAAUUGCCCUUAUAGAGUUAAGCUCUACGCUUUAACAACUGACUUGGAUAACCACCUACGGACGCUUUACGCCCAAUAAUUCCGGAUAACGCUUGCCUCCUCCGUAUUACCGCGGCUGCUGGCACGGAGUUAGCCGAGGCUGAUUCGAUAGGUACCGUCAUUGUGUUCUUCCCUAUCAAAAGGGGUUUACAACCAGUAGGCCUUCCUCCCUCACGCGGUCUUGCUCCGUCAGGCUUUCGCCCAUUGCGGAAAAUUCCCCACUGCUGCCUCCCGUAGGAGUCUGGGCCGUGUCUCAGUCCCAGUGUGGCUGAUCAUCCUCUCAGACCAGCUACUGAUCGUCGCCUUGGUAGUCUCUUACACUACCAACUAGCUAAUCAGACGCGAGCUCUUCCUCAGGCCAUAUAAGUUUUACCUCUCGGCACAUCGGGUAUUAGCAGUCGUUUCCAACUGUUGUCCCCAUCCUAAGGGUAGAUUCUCACGCGUUACUCACCCGUCCG
RNAcentral lists this ribosomal RNA (664 nucleotides) under uncultured cyanobacterium. Its description in RNAcentral is "partial 16S ribosomal RNA". Lineage: Bacteria; Bacillati; Cyanobacteriota. The record is from RNAcentral.